GGAGGUUCUCUGGUGACACACCCUGGAUUGGGCUCCCUCCUCUCUGGUUUCGGGUGUGUCACCCCAGAACCGCA
Myotis brandtii (Brandt's bat) is the source of this 74-nucleotide non-coding RNA. NCBI's taxonomy places the organism in Eukaryota, Metazoa, Chordata, Mammalia, Chiroptera, Vespertilionidae. The record is from Rfam.